This 406-nucleotide ribosomal RNA is filed under the name uncultured bacterium. RNAcentral's name for it is "partial 16S ribosomal RNA". It matches the Rfam family "Bacterial small subunit ribosomal RNA", at positions 30 to 526 of the family's 1533-position model. The record is from RNAcentral.
AUUGAACGCUGGCGGCAGGCCUAACACAUGCAAGUCGAGCGAGCGGCGGACGGGUGAGUAAUGUCUGGGAAACUGCCUGAUGGAGGGGGAUAACUACUGGAAACGGUAGCUAAUACCGCAUACAAUAAGAUGUGCCCCGAUGGGAUUAGCUAGUAGGUGGGGUAACGGCUCAACCAGGCGACGAUCCCUAGCUGGUCUGAGAGGAUGAACAGCCAACCUGGAACUGAGACACGGUCCAGACUCCUACGGGAGGCAGCAGUGGGGAAUAUUGGACAAUGGGCGCAAGCCUGAUGCAGCCAUGCCGCGUGUGUGAAGAAGGCCUUCGGGUUGUAAAGCACUUUCAGCUGGGAGGCGUUACCCGCAGAAGAAGCACCGGCUAACUCCGUGCCAGCAGCCGCGGUAAUAC